RNAcentral lists this ribosomal RNA (186 nucleotides) under uncultured Staphylococcus sp. RNAcentral describes it as "partial 16S ribosomal RNA". It matches the Rfam family "Bacterial small subunit ribosomal RNA", at positions 154 to 334 of the family's 1533-position model. Lineage: Bacteria; Bacillati; Bacillota; Bacilli; Caryophanales; Staphylococcaceae. The record is from RNAcentral.
AAACCGGAGCUAAUACCGGAUAAUAUUUUGAACCGCAUGAUUCAAAAGUGAAAGACGGUCUUGCUGUCACUUAUAGAUGGAUCCGCGCUGCAUCAGCUAGUUGGUAAGGUAACGGCUUACCAAGGCAACGAUGCAUAGCCGACCUGAGAGGGUGAUCGGCCACACUGGAACUGAGACACGGUCCAG